CAGUCGCCGCGGUAACACGUAGGGGGCGAGCGUUGUCCGAAGUUACUGGGCGUAAAGAGCGCGUAGGCUGGUCUUUAAGUGAGUGGUGAAAGGUUCGGGCUCAACCCGGACACUGCCUUUCAUACUGGGGACCUUGAGUGUGGGAGAGGCGAGUGGAAUGGUCGGUGUAGCGGUGAAAUGCGUAGAUAUCGAUCGGAACACCCAUGGCGAAGGCAGCUCGCUGGCCUAACACUGACGCUGAGGUGCGAAAGCGUGGGGAGCAAACAGGAUUAGAUACCCCCGUAGUCCCUGUCUCUUAUAC
RNAcentral lists this ribosomal RNA (301 nucleotides) under uncultured bacterium. RNAcentral's name for it is "partial 16S ribosomal RNA". It matches the Rfam family "Bacterial small subunit ribosomal RNA", at positions 509 to 807 of the family's 1533-position model. The record is from RNAcentral.